AAAGAAAAAUGAAAAAAUGUAAUAGAUUAGGUCUCUCUAAAAGUAGAGUUGUCUGCUUGGUUCCGUAGAUUUGAUCUAUUCAAAUCCUGGCUCGAGCCGAUAUACAAUUUUAAUGAUAAAAAUAAAGCAGGUAUGUGCACACCAAAGGGAGGGAGGGAGAGAUGAGUUCGCUUAAGCUUCAAAAACAACUCUCAGAGAGCAUUCUAUAGUGUGGAAAAUGAAAGGUUUGGCUCGAUGCAAAUGAAGUCAACGAGAUCUCCAUUGCCAAUCAACUUUGAUCGUUUUGUAAUAAUAAAUUUUAAGUCGAGGUAUGAUACUAUGAUUCGGACUUGAUUUCGCAUCGUUUGCUGCCAAAUUGUGAAAACGAAGCGAAAUGCUUUAAAUUUUUAGGAAUUUAAUAUGUGAUAACUGAUGUAGUUUACUUACAAGCUUUUUUUUUUCUUAGUGAUCUAUAACAGUAGUGUUAUAUAGUUUACUCAGAUAAGCUUUUGCAUAUAUACAA
Molecule: long non-coding RNA, 502 nt
Organism: Gossypium arboreum
Lineage: Eukaryota; Viridiplantae; Streptophyta; Magnoliopsida; Malvales; Malvaceae
Exons: 2
Source: RefSeq, a predicted model, not a curated record